This 218-nucleotide ribosomal RNA is filed under the name uncultured bacterium. Its description in RNAcentral is "partial 16S ribosomal RNA". It matches the Rfam family "Bacterial small subunit ribosomal RNA", at positions 122 to 334 of the family's 1533-position model. The record is from RNAcentral.
UAAACCUGCCUCUUAGCGGGGGAUAACUAUUGGAAACGAUAGCUAAUACCGCAUAAAAGUCGACAUUGCAUGAUGUUGACUUGAAAGGUGCAAAUGCAUCACUAAGAGAUGGACCUGCGUUGUAUUAGCUAGUUGGUGAGGUAACGGCUCACCAAGGCGACGAUACAUAGCCGACCUGAGAGGGUGAUCGGCCACACUGGGACUGAGACACGGCCCAG